This 558-nucleotide ribosomal RNA is filed under the name uncultured bacterium. RNAcentral's name for it is "bacterial SSU rRNA". It matches the Rfam family "Bacterial small subunit ribosomal RNA", at positions 8 to 581 of the family's 1533-position model. The record is from RNAcentral.
AGAGUUUGAUCAUGGCUCAGAAUGAACGUUGGCGGCGUGGAUUAGGCAUGCAAGUCGCGCGAGAAACCCGCAAGGGUGGAAAGCGGCGAAAGGGAGAGUAACGCGUGGAAAUCUACCCACAGACUCGGGAUAGCCGCGGGAAACUGCGGGUAAUACCGAAUAAUGUCUCCGGACCAAAGGUGUGAUUCCGUCUGUGGAUGAGUCCGCGUCCUAUUAGCUUGUUGGCAGGGUAAUGGCCUACCAAGGCGAUGAUGGGUACUGGGUGUGAGAGCACGACCCAGCUCACUGGGACUGAGACACUGCCCAGACACCUACGGGUGGCUGCAGUCGAGGAUCUUCGGCAAUGGGCGCAAGCCUGACCGAGCGACGCCGCGUGCGGGAUGAAGGCCUUCGGGUUGUAAACCGCUGUCAGAGGGAAUGAAAGGCCCUAGGGUACUCUCUAGGGUUUGACAGCUCCUCAGAGGAAGUACGGGCUAAGUUCGUGCCAGCAGCCGCGGUAAGACGAACCGUACGAACGUUAUUCGGAAUCACUGGGCUUAAAGGGUGCGUACGCGGUGC